GUAUUGAUUGCGUGUUAUCGCAAAAAUGGGGUCACUCUACACUUUUAAAAGGGGGGGUUUGUGUGAAAACGCGAGCCCCCUCCCGGAUCGGUUUGACCCUGAAGGGUGCCCACGCGGUGGUGCACAAAAGGGUGAGAUGGAUUUUAUGUGAGAGGACGCACUCCGGCGUGCACGACUUUUGUGUCUCAAAAAGUCAGCGACAGCCCUCGCACGCCUCACACAUGUUUGUACGAUAAUGAUCCUUCCGCAGGUUCACCUACGGAAA
Molecule: unclassified non-coding RNA, 265 nt
Filed under: uncultured fungus
Lineage: Eukaryota; Fungi
Description: sequence contains ITS1
Source: RNAcentral